This 629-nucleotide small RNA is filed under the name Pan troglodytes (chimpanzee). RNAcentral describes it as "processed transcript". Lineage: Eukaryota; Metazoa; Chordata; Mammalia; Primates; Hominidae. The record is from RNAcentral.
ACUCGCGCUCUCGGCUUCUGCUCCGGGGCUUCUUCCCUGCCCGCCCGGGGCCCUGACCGUGGCUUCUUCCCCGGCCUGAUCUGCGCAGCCCGGCGGGCGCCCAGAAGGAGCAGGCGGCGCGGGGGCGCGCUGGGCGGGGGAGGCGUGGCCGGAGCUGCGGCGGCAAGCGGGCUGGGACUGCUCGGCCGCCUCCUGCCCGGCGAGCAGCUCAGGUCCUGGGCUGAAGAGAUGGGGAGCAGCCGCUGUGGGCCUGGGGCUCACCCUGUUCACCUGUGGCCCCCACACUUUGCAUUCUCUGGUCACCAUCCUCGGGACCUGGGCCCUCAUUCAGGCCCAGCCCUGCUCCUGCCACGCCCUGGCUCUGGCCUGGACUUUCUCCUAUCUCCUGUUCUUCCGAGCCCUCAGCCUCCUGGGCCUGCCCACUCCCACGCCCUUCACCAAUGCCGUCCAGCUGCUGCUGACGCUGAAGCUGGUGAGCCUGGCCAGUGAAGUCCAGGACCUGCACCUGGCCCAGAGGAAGGAAAUGGCCUCAGGCUUCAGCAAGGGGCCCACCCUGGGGCUGCUGCCCGAUGUGCCCUCCCUGAUGGAGACGCUCAGCUACAGCUACUGCUACGUGGGAAUCAUGACAG